GGGAGCCCGGAGAUGGGAACUGAGACAAGGUCCCAGGUCCUACGGGGCGCAGCAGGCGCGAAAACUCCACAAUGCACAAACGUGUGAUGGGGUAUUCCCGAGUGCCGUCCGAUGAGGAUGGCUUUUGCUUAGUGUAAGGGACUAAGAGAAUAAGGGGGGGGCAAGUCUGGUGUCAGCCGCCGCGGUAAUACCAGCCCCCUGAGUGGUAGGGACGAUUAUUUGGCCUAAAGCGUUCGUAGCCUGCUCGGUAAGUCUUUCGUUAAAUCUAACGAUUUAAUCGUUAGACCGCGUAAGAUACUGCUGGGCUAGAGGAUGGGAGAGGUCGACGGUAGUCCUGGGGUAGGGGUGAAAUCCUAUAAUCCCAGGAGGACCACCAGUGGCGAAGGCGGUCGACUAGAACAUGCCUGACGGUGAUGGACGAGAGCUGGGGGAGCGAACCGGAUUAGACACCCGGGUAGUCCCAGCUGUAAACGAUGCGGGCUAGGUGUUGGAACAGCUACGAGCUGUUCCAGUGCCGCAGAGAAGUCGUUAAGCCCGCCGCCUGGG
RNAcentral lists this ribosomal RNA (546 nucleotides) under uncultured archaeon. Its description in RNAcentral is "bacterial SSU rRNA". It matches the Rfam family "Archaeal small subunit ribosomal RNA", at positions 284 to 832 of the family's 1478-position model. The record is from RNAcentral.